UACGGAGGGUGCGAGCGUUAUUCGGAAUUACUGGGCGUAAAGCGUGCGUAGACGGUUAUUUAAGUCGGAUGUGAAAGCCCCGGGCUCAACCUGGGAAUUGCAUUCGAGACUGAAUAGCUAGGGUGCGGUAGAGGGAAGCGGAAUUUCCGGUGUAGCGGUGAAAUGCGUAGAUAUCGGAAGGAACAUCAGUGGCGAAGGCGGCUCGCUGGGCCGUUCCUGACGCUGAGACGCGAAAGCUAGGGGAGCGAACAGG
RNAcentral lists this ribosomal RNA (253 nucleotides) under uncultured bacterium. RNAcentral describes it as "partial 16S ribosomal RNA". It matches the Rfam family "Bacterial small subunit ribosomal RNA", at positions 524 to 776 of the family's 1533-position model. The record is from RNAcentral.